This 253-nucleotide ribosomal RNA is filed under the name uncultured bacterium. RNAcentral describes it as "partial 16S ribosomal RNA". It matches the Rfam family "Bacterial small subunit ribosomal RNA", at positions 524 to 776 of the family's 1533-position model. The record is from RNAcentral.
UACGUAGGGUGCGAGCGUUGUUCGGAAUUACUGGGCGUAAAGGGCUCGUAGGCGGCCAACUAAGUCAGACGUGAAAUCCCUCGGCUUAACCGGGGAACUGCGUCUGAUACUGGAUGGCUUGAGUUCGGGAGAGGGAUGCGGAAUUCCAGGUGUAGCGGUGAAAUGCGUAGAUAUCGGGAGGAACACCAGUGGCGAAGGCGACUACCUGGCCCAUUCUUGACGCUGAGGCGCGAAAGCUAGGGGAGCGAACGGG